Molecule: unclassified non-coding RNA, 433 nt
Filed under: soil metagenome
Description: partial contains 5.8S ribosomal RNA, internal transcribed spacer 2, and large subunit ribosomal RNA
Rfam family: 5.8S ribosomal RNA (bases 1-120)
Source: RNAcentral
GAUGAAGAACGUAGCGAAAUGCGAUACGUAAUGUGAAUUGCAGAAUUCAGUGAAUCAUCGAAUCUUUGAACGCAUAUUGCGCUCUCUGGUAUUCCGGAGAGCAUGCUUGUUUGAGUAUCAGUAAACACCUCAACUUCCAUAUCUUUUUUUGAAAUGGGAGUUGGACUUGAGUGAUCCCAACGCUUUUCCUCACCGAAAAGUGGCGGGUUACUUGAAAUGCAGGUGCAGCUGGACUUUUCUCUGAGCUAUAAGCAUAUCUAUUUUGUCUGCCUAAAAAACAGAUUAUUACCUUUGCUGCAGCUAACAUAAAGGAGAUUAGUUCUUGUGCUGACUGAUGCAGGAUUCACAAAGACAGCUUCGGCCGACUUUGUAAACUCGAUCUCAAAUCAAGUAAGACUACCCGCUGAACUUAAGCAUAUCAAUAAGCGGAGGA